ACGAGUGGCGAACGGGUGAGUAACACGUGGGUGACCUGCCCUGCACUUCGGGAUAAGCCUGGGAAACUGGGUCUAAUACCGGAUAGGACCGCACNGUGAGGGUGUGGUGGAAAGUUUUUUCGGUGUGGGAUGGGCCCGCGGCCUAUCAGCUUGUUGGUGGGGUAAUGGCCUACCAAGGCGGCGACGGGUAGCCGGCCUGAGAGGGUGGACGGCCACAUUGGGACUGAGACACGGCCCAGACUCCUACGGGAGGCAGCAGUGGGGAAUAUUGCACAAUGGGCGGAAGCCUGAUGCAGCGACGCCGCGUGGGGGAUGACGGCCUUCGGGUUGUAAACUCCUUUCACCAUCGACGAAGGGUUUCUGACGGUAGAUGGAGAAGAAGCACCGGCUAACUACGUGCCAGCAGCCGCGGUAAUACGUAGGGUGCGAGCGUUGUCCGGAAUUACUGGGCGUAAAGAGCUCGUAGGUGGUUUGUCGCGUCGUCUGUGAAAUUCCGGGGCUUAACUCCGGGCGUGCAGGCGAUACGGGCAUAACUUGAGUACUGUAGGGGAGACUGGAAUUCCUGGUGUAGCGGUGAAAUGCGCAGAUAUCAGGAGGAACACCGGUGGCGAAGGCGGGUCUCUGGGCAGUAACUGACGCUGAGGAGCGAAAGCAUGGGGAGCGAACAGGAUUAGAUACCCUGGUAGUCCAUGCCGUAAACGGUGGGCGCUAGGUGUGGGUUUCCUUCCACGGGAUCCGUGCCGUAGCUAACGCAUUAAGCGCCCCGCCUGGGGAGUACGGCCGCAAGGCUAAAACUCAAAGGAAUUGACGGGGGCCCGCACAAGCGGCGGAGCAUGUGGAUUAAUUCGAUGCAACGCGAAGAACCUUACCUGGGCUUGACAUAUACAGGAUCGCGCCAGAGAUGGUGUUUCCCUUGUGGCUUGUAUACAGGUGGUGCAUGGUUGUCGUCAGCUCGUGUCGUGAGAUGUUGGGUUAAGUCCCGCAACGAGCGCAACCCUUGUCUUAUGUUGCCAGCACGUUGUGGUGGGGACUCGUAAGAAACUGCCGGGGUUAACUCGGAGGAAGGUGGGGAUGACGUCAAAUCAUCAUGCCCCUUAUGUCCAGGGCUUCACACAUGCUACAAUGGUCGGUACAGUGGGUUGCCAGUCCGUGAGGGCGAGCUAAUCCCGCAAAGCCGGUCUCAGUUCGGAUCGGGGUCUGCAACUCGACCCCGUGAAGUCNGAGUCGCUAGUAAUCGCAGAUCAGCAACGCUGCGGUGAAUACGUUCCCGGGCCUUGUACACACCGCCCGUCACGUCAUGAAAGUCGGUAACACCCGAAGCCAGUGGC
Molecule: ribosomal RNA, 1328 nt
Filed under: Corynebacterium amycolatum
Lineage: Bacteria; Bacillati; Actinomycetota; Actinomycetes; Mycobacteriales; Corynebacteriaceae
Description: 16S ribosomal RNA
Rfam family: Bacterial small subunit ribosomal RNA
Source: RNAcentral